Molecule: unclassified non-coding RNA, 689 nt
Filed under: Zea mays
Lineage: Eukaryota; Viridiplantae; Streptophyta; Magnoliopsida; Poales; Poaceae
Description: misc RNA Zm00001eb090630
Source: RNAcentral
AAAUUAAUCGUCCAAUAUACACAUGAUUUAAGACUCAAAAAUAUACAAACUAAAAGUAUGUAUGGCUACAUAAAUUAGAUCGCGAUUAACUAUAGACUACAGGGGAUAGCACAUAAAAUCACAUGGCUUCUUUUCACUUUGUUUUGAACUGGAAAAAUAUCUAAACAAAUUUUACACAGAAUCACGGGCUAGAAUGAAUCACGGUCAUCUUCUACCUCCUAACUGGUCCUUGUGUAGGGAAGACGACGAGCAGGCCAGAAGCUCAGCAACGAUUAGGGGAGGUCGGCGGGGCGUGCUCUGAGUCUGGUCGUCGGGGGCACGGUGUCGGGCUCCGGGCGUUCCUCGCCAGCGAUGGGGAGGCUCGGGGCAGCUAUCUGGCGACGACCAGAGGACGACGGGCGGCAGCUCGCGAGCAAGGAGAAGGGGGCGCGGGGAGAGGCAAGCCGACUGGGAUCUGGAACCAUGGAUGUUGAGGAAGAUUUUUAUAGAGGGAGAAGAGAGGGCACUGUGGAGCGAGAAGGCCGGUGGCGGCUAUUAAUGGCGCUAGCCCGUGGUGGUGGGGACAGAGAAACGGUGGCUGUUUUCGGCGCGUGGAGGCGGAGAGGUGAAGGGGGCAAGGCGUCGAGUGGCCGGGGAAGCAAGGCGGCGUGGCCACACGCGUGCAGGCGCUGGAAGAGGAAGAGGUCGUG